RNAcentral lists this ribosomal RNA (469 nucleotides) under uncultured bacterium. RNAcentral's name for it is "bacterial SSU rRNA". It matches the Rfam family "Bacterial small subunit ribosomal RNA", at positions 28 to 507 of the family's 1533-position model. The record is from RNAcentral.
GAUGAACGCUGGCGGCGUGCCUAAUACAUGCAAGUCGAACGAGGCCCUUUGUAUUCGUACGAAGGUGUCCUAGUGGCGAACGGGUGAGUAACACGUAGGUGACCUGCCCCGAAGAGGGGAACAACCCCGGGAAACUGGGGCUAAUACCCCAUAAUCUCCUUAGAGUUAGAGGUCUUAGGAGCAAAGGAGCAAUCCACUUUGGGAGGGGCCUGCGGCCCAUCAGCUAGUUGGUAGGGUAAUGGCCUACCAAGGCGAUGACGGGUAGGGGACCUGAGAGGGUGAUCCCCCACACUGGCACUGAAACACGGGCCAGACACCUACGGGUGGCAGCAGUAGGGAAUAUUGCCCAAUGGACGAAAGUCUGAGGCAGCAACGCCGCGUGCGCGAUGAAGGCCUUCGGGUUGUAAAGCACUUUUCUGAGGGAAGAGAAAGGACGGUACCUCAGGAAUAAGUCUCGGCUAACUACGUG